Molecule: ribosomal RNA, 301 nt
Filed under: uncultured Peptoniphilus sp.
Lineage: Bacteria; Bacillati; Bacillota; Tissierellia; Tissierellales; Peptoniphilaceae
Description: bacterial SSU rRNA
Rfam family: Bacterial small subunit ribosomal RNA (bases 54-301)
Source: RNAcentral
AUGUGAUGUGGAUGCGAGAAGCCUGGGAAAGAGGGAUGAGUGAGGUGUAAUACGGAAGAACUGGGUGUAAAGCGUCAGGAGGCGGUGUAAUAAGUUAGUAUUGAAAGAUCAUUGUACAACGAUGGAACUGGCAUUGAUACGGUUAGACUUGAAUUAUGAAGAAGUAACUAGAAUAUGUAGGGUAGCGGUGAAAUGCUUAGAUAUUACAUGGAAUACAAAUUGCAAAGGCAGGUUACUACUUGUGGAUUGACGCUAAUGGACGAAAGCGUGGGGAGCGAACAGGAUGAGAUACCCCAUAUUC